RNAcentral lists this ribosomal RNA (489 nucleotides) under uncultured bacterium. Its description in RNAcentral is "partial 16S ribosomal RNA". It matches the Rfam family "Bacterial small subunit ribosomal RNA", at positions 30 to 507 of the family's 1533-position model. The record is from RNAcentral.
UUGAACGCUGGCGGCAUGCUUUACACAUGCAAGUCGAACGGCAGCGGGGUAGUGCUUGCACUACUGCCGGCGAGUGGCGAACGGGUGAGUAAUAUAUCGGAACGUACCGAGUAAUGGGGGAUAACCAAUCGAAAGAUUGGCUAAUACCGCAUACGUCCUGAGGGAGAAAGCGGGGGAUCGCAAGACCUCGCGUUAUUCGAGCGGCCGAUAACUGAUUAGCUAGUUGGUGGGGUAAAGGCCUACCAAGGCGACGAUCAGUAGCGGGUCUGAGAGGACGAUCCGCCACACUGGGACUGAGACACGGCCCAGACUCCUACGGGAGGCAGCAGUGGGGAAUUUUGGACAAUGGGGGCAACCCUGAUCCAGCCAUGCCGCGUGUAUGAAGAAGGCCUUCGGGUUGUGAAGUACUUUUGUUAGGGAAGAAAAGGGAAGUGCUAAUACCACUUUUUGCUGACGGUACCUAAAGAAUAAGCACCGGCUAACUACGUG